Long non-coding RNA from Pseudomyrmex gracilis, 228 nucleotides. RefSeq lists it as uncharacterized. The transcript is spliced from 2 exons. The record is from RefSeq and is a predicted model, not a curated record. NCBI's taxonomy places the organism in Eukaryota, Metazoa, Arthropoda, Insecta, Hymenoptera, Formicidae.
GACGGCAAAUUAUCAUCUCGCGCUUGUCAAAACAACAAAAUUAUCAUCGAUACCACCAAGAUGCGUCGACGAUCUCCUUCGUACGAUGGACGUGUUUAAACUUCCAGAAAAGAGCUGGUCGCGAUCAGCUGAUCGGUUUUUUAAACGCCAAACACAAGCGAUGCGCUUUAUUUUCGCCACCGGAGAGACUGACAGAAGCUAUCUUCUUUGUGCACACGCUAUCAUCUC